UACACUCCUGCGGGAGGCAGCAGUGGGGAAUUUUGGACAAUGGGCGAAAGCCUGAUCCAGCAAUGCCGCGUGAGUGAAGAAGGCCUUCGGGUUGUAAAGCUCUUUUGUCAGGGAAGAAACGGUGAGAGCUAAUAUCUUUUGCUAAUGACGGUACCUGAAGAAUAAGCACCGGCUAACUACGUGCCAGCAGCCGCGGUAAUACGUAGGGUGCAAGCGUUAAUCGGAAUUACUGGGCGUAAAGCGUGCGCAGGCGGUUUUGUAAGUCUGAUGUGAAAUCCCCGGGCUCAACCUGGGAAUUGCAUUGGAGACUGCAAGGCUAGAAUCUGGCAGAGGGGGGUAGAAUUCCACGUGUAGCAGUGAAAUGCGUAGAUAUGUGGAGGAACACCGAUGGCGAAGGCAGCCCCCUGGGUCAAGAUUGACGCUCAUGCACGAAAGCGUGGGGAGCAAACAGGAUUAGAUACCCUUGUAGUCCCA
Molecule: ribosomal RNA, 474 nt
Filed under: uncultured organism
Description: partial 16S ribosomal RNA
Rfam family: Bacterial small subunit ribosomal RNA
Source: RNAcentral